UACGUAGGGGGCAAGCGUUGUCCGGAAUCAUUGGGCGUAAAGAGCGCGUAGGCGGUCCGGUAAGUCGGUUGUGAAAACUGGGGGCUCAACCCUCAGAGGCCGACCGAUACUGCCGGGCUAGAGUCCGGAAGAGGCGAGUGGAAUUCCUGGUGUAGCGGUGAAAUGCGCAGAUAUCAGGAGGAACACCGAUGGCGAAGGCAGGUCUCUGGGCAUUAACUGACGCUGAGGAGCGAAAGCAUGGGGAGCGAACAGG
RNAcentral lists this ribosomal RNA (253 nucleotides) under uncultured bacterium. RNAcentral's name for it is "partial 16S ribosomal RNA". It matches the Rfam family "Bacterial small subunit ribosomal RNA", at positions 524 to 776 of the family's 1533-position model. The record is from RNAcentral.